AGCGAACGCUGGCGGCAGGCCUAACACAUGCAAGUCGAACGAACUCUUCGGAGUUAGUGGCGGACGGGUGAGUAACACGUGGGAACGUGCCUUUAGGUUCGGAAUAACUCAGGGAAACUUGUGCUAAUACCGAAUGUGCCCUUCGGGGGAAAGAUUUAUCGCCUUUAGAGCGGCCCGCGUCUGAUUAGCUAGUUGGUGAGGUAAUGGCUCACCAAGGCGACGAUCAGUAUCUGGUCUGAGAGGAUGAUCAGCCACAUUGGGACUGAGACACGGCCCAAACUCCUACGGGAGGCAGCAGUGGGGAAUCUUGCGCAAUGGGCGAAAGCCUGACGCAGCCAUGCCGCGUGAAUGAUGAAGGUCUUAGGAUUGUAAAAUUCUUUCACCGGGGACGAUAAUGACGGUACCCGGAGAAGAAGCCCCGGCUAACUUCGUGCCAGCAGCCGCGGUAAUACCAAGGGGGCUAGCGUUGCUCGGAAUUACUGGGCGUAAAGGGAGCGUAGGCGGACAUUUAAGUCAGGGGUGAAAUCCCGGG
Molecule: ribosomal RNA, 532 nt
Filed under: uncultured Alphaproteobacteria bacterium
Lineage: Bacteria; Pseudomonadati; Pseudomonadota; Alphaproteobacteria
Description: bacterial SSU rRNA
Rfam family: Bacterial small subunit ribosomal RNA
Source: RNAcentral